AGUAAAAGUCGUAACAAGGUUUCCGUAGGUGAACCUGCGGAAGGAUCAUUAACGAUUGCUAUAAAUGCAAAGACAAAACUCACUGGAUUGAACGCUCAAACUCCUGACGAGUUCAGGAAGGAUGAUGCCUCUCACGGCCAUCGUGGUCGUUGCGCUCUGCGCUGCGAACGAUGUAAAACAAACAACCGAUGGCCUCUYAUACAGUAUAAUAUCUCUCGCCAUGGCAUACAGGCCUGGCAUCUGGUACGAGUCUCUCGCAGUCUCAAAACCAACCUUACAACUCUGAGCGGUGGAUCACUUGGCUUGUGGAUGCUAUGAAGACCAUAGCUAAGUGUGAGAAUGGCAGCGAGCCGUCGCUAUAUGCGCUGUCCUCUUCUUAUCACAUGUCGAAUGCACAUUGCGCCCCACCCAGCGGUCGGCUAAACAACCUGCAGACAAAAGCCUGUGAGUUGGAACAAAGGCUAAUGUGUGGCCCUCGAGCAACGGCGGGGGAGCCAGGAGCACAUGAGCGUGCGGACCAACUACUCGUGAGUAGUCAGGCUUGAACCCUAUGGUGGGGCACUCCUAGUCGAGUGUGGUGGAUCGGACUCACAUCUCUUGUUGCGCGUUCGCGCGUGAUGGAGUUUGAGUUUCUUUGUUGCUGGUGGCAUUUGGGUCGACAUCAGUCGUGCCCGUAAACAACUGCCUUGGCUCGUGCCUCUGUGCGUAUACCUCUCGAAGGAGCGUACAUUGAAGGCCAUAGCUGGCGAUCACUCUUGCGGCCAGGGCACUACUUCGGUUGUGCGCACAGGUCCAAAAGGAAUUGGUAAUACGAGAAUCGGGUCUCAAUACUCUGGACGGCUUCUGCACACUAACACAAACUGUGGAGUGAUGAUCACAUGGUUAUCGAGAGAACUGCAAUACCGCUUUUCUGGCAAGGCCCCGUCCGAGCCUCACCUCUUUUGAAUGCACACACAUACCAGACAGUGCCUCCCCUGACGAGAUCAGGAAGGAUGGUCUGCGAGUGUGUGUAAAAAGUAACAGAUUGGCCGGCAGUCUCGCAUCACAUCUGUAUCAGGUGUGGUGAUCAUGUUGAUUCUUGAGGUCCCUGCAUAUCCGUUGCUCUGGUAAAGGCUCUUCUUUCUCGUAGUAUUCGAGAAUGACAUGAGCUUUACCACUUUUGAAUGCGCACACGAGGACAAGGAAUGAGAACCUGACGAGAUCAGGAAUAAGUGCGUCAAAAGUAACCGAGUGGCCGGCAGUCUCGCAUCACUCUUCUGGUUGACCUUAUGUGUGACGUGAUGAUCACAUGGUUAUCGAGAGAACUGCAAUACCGCUUUUCUGGCAAGGCCCCGUCCGAGCCUCACCUCUUUUGAAUGCACACACAUACCAGACAGUGCCUCCCCUGACGAGAUCAGGAAGGAUGGUCUGCGAGUGUGUGUAAAAAGUAACAGAUUGGCCGGCAGUCUCGCAUCACAUCUGUAUCAGGUGUGGUGAUCAUGUUGAUUCUUGAGGUCCCUGCAUAUCCGUUGCUCUGGUAAACGCUUUUGCUCCUCGUACUAUACGACAAUGGCAUGAGCUUUACCACUUUUGAAUGCGCACACGAGGACAAGGAAUGAGAACCUGACGAGAUCAGGAAUAAGUGCGUCAAAAGUAACCGAGUGGCCGGCAGUCUCGCAUCACUCUGCUGGUUGUACUUAUGUGUGACGUGAUGAUCACAUGGUUAUCGAGAGAACUGCAAUACCGCUUUUCUGGCAAGGCCCCGUCCGAGCCUCACCUCUUUUGAAUGCACACACAUACCAGACAGUGCCUCCCCUGACGAGAUCAGGAAGGAUGGUCUGCGAGUGUGUGUAAAAAGUAACAGAUUGGCCGGCAGUCUCGCAUCACAUCUGUAUCAGGUGUGGUGAUCAUGUUGAUUCUUGAGGUCCCUGCAUAUCCGUUGCUCCGGUAAAAGCUGUUUUUUCUCGUAGUAUUCGAGAAUGACACGAGCUUUACCACUUAUGCUCGCACACGCCAGGACAGGGAAACAGAACCUGACGAGAUCAGGAAUAAGUGUGCGUCAUAAGUAACAGGGCGGCCGGCAGUCUCGCAUCACUGAACACGUUGUACUUCCGUGUGGAAAAGAAUACGGACGAAUGAGAGAGACCUGGUUUCUUGUGUUUUGGUAAUUGCCACCACCUCGACUUAGGAGAGGUUACCCGCUGAACUUAAGCAUAUCAGUAAGCGGAGGAAAAGAAACCAAUCAGGGAUUCCCUUAGUAGGGGCGACCGAACAGGGAUGAGCCCAGCGCAGAACCUCCCGGGCCACCCGGCCUGCGGCGGAAUGUUGCGUUAAGGGAAAGGUCGUAGUCAAACCCCACAGCCACGCGAGCUCUAAGUAAGUCACGAAUUGGCUAUCCCAACUAACGGCGGGAAAAUCUCCACGGAGGGUGUAAGACCCGUGUGGGCGCGUGUAAAUGCUGUGUGGGCUCGGCCUCUUUUCCCUGAGAGUCGCGUUGCUUGAGCAUGCAGCGCUAAGCAGGUCGUAAACUCGAUCUAAGGCUAAAUAUGUCCACAAGACCGAUAGCGAACAAGUACCGUGAGGGAAAGUUGAAAAGCACUCUGAAGAGAG
Molecule: ribosomal RNA, 2589 nt
Filed under: Niphargus podpecanus
Lineage: Eukaryota; Metazoa; Arthropoda; Malacostraca; Amphipoda; Niphargidae
Description: eukaryotic LSU rRNA
Source: RNAcentral